RNAcentral lists this ribosomal RNA (121 nucleotides) under Protousnea dusenii. Its description in RNAcentral is "partial 18S ribosomal RNA". The record is from RNAcentral. Lineage: Eukaryota; Fungi; Ascomycota; Lecanoromycetes; Lecanorales; Parmeliaceae.
GCGGAUAUUACAUCCUUUCGGGUACAUCUGCUGAAACCUUAGUGAAUUGAUUAGGCGACUCUAAACAAAUAUAAUCCUCGGGGAUUGCCCUUGAGCACUAGCCAUUUCUUGUAGAUGGCGA